CGCACCUUGCGCCUUGUGGUAUUCCACAAGGCAUGCCCGUUUGAGUGUCAUUAAAUCAUCAACCUCAAAACCUUUGUGUUUCUGAGGCUUGGUCUUGAGGGUUUUGCAGGCCAUCCCCUUGGUCUGCUCCCUUUAAAUCUAUUAGCGAGACUUCCCUGUGCUGACCGUCUCUUGGCGUGAUAAUUAUCUGCGUCAAACUUGGCGGUUCUCGUUGGGCUUGCUUCUAAUCGUCCUCGGACAAUCGGAUUUGGGCGCAUAUAUGCACCUUUUUCCAAACCUUUUUGACCUCAAAUCGGGUAGGACUACCCGCUGAACUUAA
Molecule: unclassified non-coding RNA, 319 nt
Filed under: Corticiaceae sp.
Lineage: Eukaryota; Fungi; Basidiomycota; Agaricomycetes; Corticiales; Corticiaceae
Description: partial contains 5.8S ribosomal RNA, internal transcribed spacer 2, and large subunit ribosomal RNA
Source: RNAcentral